This 246-nucleotide unclassified non-coding RNA is filed under the name Hevea brasiliensis (rubber tree). The record is from RNAcentral. Lineage: Eukaryota; Viridiplantae; Streptophyta; Magnoliopsida; Malpighiales; Euphorbiaceae.
UAUCAAAAGUGAGGAACUAAAAAGAUUUGAUUAAGCUAUAUUCUGAGGACUAAACAGUAAUUUACCCUUUAUUUUAUAGAAACUCAAUUUCAAAAUCAUAACUGUGAAGUAGCAUUCUAAACCAUGCAUAAGUCCUGAACAAAUCCUUUGUAUGCAAAAAAGAAGAAGAAAUUUUCUACUCUACAAUUAAGAAUAAUCGCAAUUGCUAUUGAAAGGACAUACCCCAUUAUUUGCCUCCAUGGGAUG